Non-coding RNA from Ictidomys tridecemlineatus (thirteen-lined ground squirrel), 587 nucleotides. Lineage: Eukaryota; Metazoa; Chordata; Mammalia; Rodentia; Sciuridae. The record is from RefSeq and is a predicted model, not a curated record.
AGGUGGGGGGGGGGGCAGACCAGGCUGCCCCCAGGAGGGAGGGGCCUGGUCUUUGUUACACUCUGAUGCAGGUCACAGGUCUGGGACUUAGCCAGUCCUGCUUCCUGUCCACAGGCCCCAAGAAAGGCCUCAAGGGAAGCCAUGCCGCCCUGCUGCAGGAAUGAGGCCUGGUGCUAUAAUAAACGGGGGCCGCUGGGGCCUUUAAAGUCUGGGGUCUUCUGGAACCCGCCUGCCCCUCAUGGACAGCUACAGUUCCAGGAAGACCUGGCAGCUAGGUGCCAACUCCUGGGAACACACUGAACUUCACCACUGUGCGGUGGGCACGCAAGGUGCCAGAUUUCAUCUGAUAUGAAGACCGGGCAGGCAGGAAGACGAGAAGUUCCCAUUUCCCCCAAAGAAACACUGCCAAGGGAAUCCACAGAGGAAAUCAGAGAAGCUUCAGCCGCCCGGGCUACGCUGGUUUCGCACAUCCACAGCGCCAGCGAUCAUGGUGCACUAUCUGCCUCCCUUCCUCGGAGACGAGUCUCAUACCUACAGUCACCGGACAUUGUUGAAGAUCAAGAAUUAAAAAAAAAAAAAAAAAAAAA